Molecule: long non-coding RNA, 206 nt
Filed under: Musa acuminata (dwarf banana)
Lineage: Eukaryota; Viridiplantae; Streptophyta; Magnoliopsida; Zingiberales; Musaceae
Description: long non-coding RNA (MACU_LNC000582)
Source: RNAcentral
UUAAAAGAUCGUCGCCAAAUUCCGCCAUCAUCUCCACCACCGCGGAUCAUCCCGUGAAUUGCAACAGGUUCUGGUUUCCUACCUUACUGCUGCUGCAAUUUAGUUAUCCCUAUCCAAAAAUCCAAAAAAAAAAAAAAUUGUUCCUCUAUUGUUGUAUAAACUUUUCGUCACAAAGUUUUCAUCUCUACAACGAAAGAUACAUUGCA